This 253-nucleotide ribosomal RNA is filed under the name uncultured bacterium. RNAcentral's name for it is "partial 16S ribosomal RNA". It matches the Rfam family "Bacterial small subunit ribosomal RNA", at positions 524 to 776 of the family's 1533-position model. The record is from RNAcentral.
GACGAGGGGUCCUAGCGUUGUUCGGAAUCAUUGGGCGUAAAGCGUGUGUAGGUUGUUUUGCAAGUCAGUUGUGAAAGCCCCGGGCUCAACCUGGGAAUUGCAUUCGAGACUGAAUAGCUAGGGUACGGUAGAGGGAAGUGGAAUUUCCGGUGUAGCGGUGAAAUGCGUAGAUAUCGGAAGGAACAUCAGUGGCGAAAGCGACUUCCUGGACCAGUACCGACGUUCAGGCACGAAAGCGUGGGGAGCAAACAGG